UUGAGAGAACCUCCUGCUGGAUGGGGAGGGAGAGAAGACAAAGAGGCCAGCAGAAGAGGCAGGUUGGGCUCAGGUUUUGCCCCGACUCCAUCCAGCAGGAGAGGAGCCAGGCUCUAGAGCAAUAGUCCUAAAUAGAGUUGACCCAGUGAAACCACUGUUGAAUUUGGCCCACUUCUUUAGCUGCGGGACUUGGGGUGGAAAUGAGUGUGGCAGUUCCUAAGAAGAUUGCCAAGGACACUUGCAGAUGGAAAAAACAGUGAAGAAACAUGGAGAGGUUUUAAAUGUUAGAUGUCAGUGUCUCAACCUCCCAUAAAAUUCUAACAAUGCAGCAAAAAGCAGCAGAAUAAAAGACCUGCCUGGAAGCAGACAGUAUGUCUCCUUAUAUACUCUGAUAAAGGUGUCUCAGUUAAGUAGAGGAGAAAAUAACAUGAUGCAUAUGACUGUACACUGUUCUGUACACUAUUGGAGAGAUCACCUGAAACUAUGUACUUCAGACUAAAGGUUGUCCAGACUACAGGGACAGCCACAUCAAAGUCUUCAGUGACACUUAUUGAUUAAGAUGGGCUGUGCUGUCUUUAUUGCCAGAGGUCUCCGAAGCAACAGACUAAAAACACACAAUAAAACAAUAGAAUUAUGAAUCCACACAGGUGUUAGUUUUAAAGCCUAGGUGAAAGAGAAUCCGUUUAAGAAGGCAGAGGGUCCUUCUGGUCAUGGUAAUCCAGCCAGCAUGGGAUUAGGCUGCAUGGAUGGAGUAACAUUUCUUCAGCCCAACCUAUUUCUAAUUGGUAAUGGGGACCAUGGCGAUAUCAUCUACUUUCCAGUGGGAUAUUUUGUAUUAUUAUUCAGAAAAUGUAUACUCCCUAUUAAUCAAAAUACUUUAAGUGCUCCUUAUUCCAGAUUAAUCAAGAGGAAAGACAAGAUUGUGUUUGUAUUUGUGUUUUGUGUAUCUAUCCCUACGAGCAGUAAAUAUGAAUUUACUCUGCCUCUGAAUUACUCUUGGUAGUUCAGCAAAAAUGUUUAUUUUCAGAAUCAUAAAUGAUACUUAAAUUGAGUUUAUGUCACAUAUUUGUCAGUUACAUUUAUAUCCUGCUGUUCCCCCAGUGAAUUGAAGGCAUGCUUCUCCUCCUCUGAAUUUUUCGUUACCAUAACAUUGUGAAGUAGGUCAGGCAGAUAAAAUCAGGCCAGUCCAAGGUCACCCAGUGAGUUUCAUGGGUCAUUGGGGACUAAACUUGGACUCUCAAAAUCUUAGCCAAAUAGUCACAACUACACAACAUUAACUUUCUAGUGCUUUGGAUUUCCUGUCCCUGUAAUGGGAACAUAAAGUUCCAUUGGCUAGAAUGUAAAUUGGAUUUGAACAAAAAUGGCUUGCCUUGCCUUUUAGGCUCAUGUUAACAACCUCCACACAUGCACACAAUAGCAAGAGAGGAACUUGUGGUUUUUGUUGUGUCAUGUGCAAAAAAAUUACCAAUUAUUACCUGUAGCUCUGCUCAGAUACGCAUGUCUGGAAUAUGAUCAGACAGGGUCCAGAAUAUACAAGCAUUACAAGGGAUGGGGAACCAGUGAGCAAGGCCAGGUGCCCCAGGGCUUGCAGGGUAGCCGAGGUGGUCGAUAGGCGUCAGGGGAGAUAUCUGUGGGCCCACAGCUUAUGAUAACAGCAGCGCUGUCAAGUUUCACACAGAAGGAUCUUUGGCAGAGUAAGUUGGAGAGUAGGCUUGAACUUGUGAGAAGCCCACACGACAUGCUAAAACUGCUCAUAAUUAAUUGGGCUCAGAAGAUGUAGCUGUCUAUGGCACAUGGUGCAGUCGAUUCAGUUCCUGGCACUGACACAUGGAGGAAAAUAAGAAGAAUAUAUUCUCGACAAGCUCAUGUUGUUCUUAAGACAGUUAUAGUACAAGCAGAGUUUUCCCCCUUGAAAGUGUCUAAUCCUCCAUGUUUCUUUGAUGCCUGGAGCCCAGGGGAGGGACGGCUGUGCUUGUGUGCUCUGACACAUAGAUGUAUAGCACCCUGCCCCCACAAGACACCAAGUGCCCAUUAAACCCUUAGAGCAGAGUGAGAAUCAUUUAGCCUUCAAUAUGUUAUUGGACUGUAAUUCCCAGCAUACUUCAAAACUAGCAAUUCUGGAAAGGCCUGCUGGGACCUUCAGUCAAACUGCCUUUGGAGGAAUACAUGAUUCCCAUGCCUGCCUUAGCAGAAAACUCCAUUGUUCAUCACCGCUAAAGUGAGUACACUGAAUUAUAAAAAUAACGAGGAAAGAACUUUUGGUGAAGGGCUAGCACUUUGGCAGAGAAGGCUAAACGCCUUGAAAAACUACAACUCUCAUGAGUUCACACAACUGAGCCAGGCAGUUAAAAUGGUAUCAAACUGCAUUAAUUCUAUAGAGUAGAAGGACCCUGGCAGGAGACUGCUUGUACCCCAUGAUCCUUAAGUGAGGCCUUGUACCAGCCUUACCACUUUUACAAGCAUAAUUGUUGGUAGGGUGAGAAACCUUUUGGCCAGACAUUUAAGGGCGAUUUAGUCGCAACAAAUUUUGCACAUUUUUAGCAGUGCAGCAUCACUCCAUGAAAUGUUCACAGAACUGAUAAUACUAAACAAAACAAUUUAUUAUUUCAUAUCUCUCAGUGAAACUUUUUUUUUUUUACAGCAGAUACCCAGCAGCCCCACUUCACUUUUCCUCCUUGUCCACUGUCUAACUGGAUAGUUUUUUUAAGCAGCAUCAGGACUGGGAGGAUUGUGAAGACUACAGAAACACCAAUAUUCAGUGUCAGGUUGCAGUAGCAUUGUGUGCAUUAAACAUUACAAUAAAACGAUGUGGGAAAUAAUGUUUCAUUUCAUGCAUGUACAUUGUUAAUUAUGAAUGAAAAGUUUAUAGGAACAUGGUGAUCUCCUCUUUUUCUUCUUCCUCUUCUUCCUCAUUAUGCCCCUUGAACUUGUUUUGGGUGCAUCUACACUCUUUGUUUCAGCAGGGUAAGGUGGAGGGUGGGUGCAGGUGUAGCAUUCCUCCUGUUGCUCUUGCUUGACUGUUGGAGUUUCUUUCUGAGCCGUUUAAAUUGGUUAGAAACACCUACCAGGUGAUUCUCUAUCUAUCUUCUUUCCCAACCUCCAGGAUAUGUAAAGCUUGGGAUGGAAAUCAGAUUUGCAGUAUCUUGUUCCUAAAUCCCUGGUCUGAACAAGAAAUCAGCUACUGUCUGAGCUGGAGUGUGCAGGCAGUGUGUCCCUGUUUUUUUCUCAUAUAUCUAUCCCCAAAAGCUCUAUCUUUGCUAAUCUAGUAUUCUUCAAAUUUUCUGCUUCUCAGAGCUUUGAAAUGGCAGCACUUAGGCUUACACAUUGACAUUAAACCAUCAAACCCCCACCCCACCCGUAAUGCACUAACAUUAAAUAAUAAGGAUAAAAUUAUAAAAUGACUUGGUUAUGUUCAUUUUUAAUGUGUUAGUUUUAAAUUUUAAAAUAAUGAAAUUAAAAAUAAUCCAUAAGGGCCAACCUUUUCAAUCACUCCCAAAGUAAUGAAAUAAAAUCAAUUAUGAAAACAUGUUGUUUCUCAGAAAAUUAACAGCAAAGUUGUUUAAGUAAAAAAGCCAAUUUUAAAAUCAUUCUUGUAAGUGUUAAUGAGUUUGGAGUAAUUAGUUAAGUUAAUUACGGGUUGAAUAUCCCAUAUCCAAAAUUAUUGCAGCCAGAAGUGUUUUUUGGAUUUCAGAAUCCCCCCUCCCCUCAGAUUUUGAAAUGCCUGCAUUUGCACUUACAUACAUUACGACAGUGGUUCCCAAACUUAUUUGGCCUACCGCCCCCUUUCCAGAAAAAAUAUUACUCAGCACCCCCUGGAAAUUAAUUUUUUAAAUUUUUUAAUAGCAAUUAAACAGAAAGAUAUAUGUA
Molecule: long non-coding RNA, 3867 nt
Organism: Anolis carolinensis (green anole)
Lineage: Eukaryota; Metazoa; Chordata; Lepidosauria; Squamata; Anolidae
Exons: 3
Source: RefSeq, a predicted model, not a curated record